CCUACGGGAGGCAGCAGUGGGGAAUCUUGCGCAAUGGGCGAAAGCCUGACGCAGCCAUGCCGCGUGAAUGAUGAAGGUCUUAGGAUUGUAAAAUUCUUUCACCGGGGACGAUAAUGACGGUACCCGGAGAAGAAGCCCCGGCUAACUUCGUGCCAGCAGCCGCGGUAAUACGAAGGGGGCUAGCGUUGCUCGGAAUUACUGGGCGUAAAGGGAGCGUAGGCGGACAUUUAAGUCAGGGGUGAAAUCCCAGAGCUCAACUCUGGAACUGCCUUUGAUACUGGGUGUCUUGAGUGUGAUAGAGGUAUGUGGAACUCCGAGUGUAGAGGUGAAAUUCGUAGAUAUUCGGAAGAACACCAGUGGCGAAGGCGACAUACUGGAUCAUUACUGACGCUGAGGCUCGAAAGCGUGGGGAGCAAACAGGAUUAGAUACCCUGGUAGUCCACGCCGUAAACGAUGAUUGCUAGUUGUUGGGAUGUUUACAUCUCGGUGACGCAGCUAACGCAUUAAGCAAUCCGCCUGGGGGAGGUACGGUCGCGAGAAUAAACUUAAAGUAAAGUAGACGCGUGAGAGUGCGACGGACGACGACGAGGGAGGAGG
RNAcentral lists this ribosomal RNA (597 nucleotides) under uncultured bacterium. RNAcentral's name for it is "bacterial SSU rRNA". It matches the Rfam family "Bacterial small subunit ribosomal RNA", at positions 338 to 954 of the family's 1533-position model. The record is from RNAcentral.